GCGGCAAUAGCUCAGUGGUAGAGCCCCGCUUCGCGUGCGGGGAGACCCGGGUUCGAUUUCCGGCUGCUUCC
Molecule: transfer RNA, 71 nt
Filed under: Toxocara canis (dog roundworm)
Lineage: Eukaryota; Metazoa; Nematoda; Chromadorea; Rhabditida; Toxocaridae
Rfam family: tRNA
About the family: Transfer RNA (tRNA) molecules are approximately 80 nucleotides in length. Their secondary structure includes four short double-helical elements and three loops (D, anti-codon, and T loops).
Source: Rfam by way of RNAcentral